Molecule: long non-coding RNA, 1152 nt
Organism: Bos taurus (domestic cattle)
Lineage: Eukaryota; Metazoa; Chordata; Mammalia; Artiodactyla; Bovidae
Source: Ensembl
GCUCUGCCCUGCAGUUGAUCCACCUGGUCCUGAAAAUGGUGAGCGUGGAUGCCGGGGAAGUGACUGCCUGUGGUCAGUUUUUGUAGCUGGUUUGGGAUUGUGGGCUUUUGCCAUUCAAGAGGACUUACCUGUAGAGUUCUUAUGGGGCUGCAGGCUAGUCAGGCUGUGUGUGCAAUGCCAGGACCUAAGGAAUAACUGGAAAUGGCCAUCAUUAGUCAAGUGAGAGGCCUAGAAAAGGGCAUGUCAAGGAUUCAGCCAAGCUAUUUCAAGACCAAGCAAGAACAGGUUAAGAGAGAUGAAGUUGCCUGGUGGCUGCGGCCAGGGCAGGUGGGGAAGAGGGCAGAGGGUAGGGAGAUGGGGAGGGCCUCCCAUCUGUGUAUUUUUAUUCUCCAGGGCACCAAUAAAAGUCCUCCCUUGACCUCUGUGCUGCUAAUUAUCAAGGCACUGGUUGGCCCACUCAGAGAGAGAAAUUUGCUUUGGGCCAAGUUUUCUUUCAGCAGAGCCCAGAGAAGGGCUGGAGGCCUGACCAGUGGGGCCGAAGCCAAAAUUGCUAUAUCCGGAAGAUCUACCAUCAGACCCAGAACAGCCUCAUCCCUGAGUCACACUUUCCUGCCACCUCGGUGUACCUCCCAGCACUCAUGUAUUCUGCACAGGGCUGUUUUUUCAUCUUAAACCAGCGGACAACCUUCUUCGAAGCAGGCACUAUUCUCUCUACUUAAAAGAAAUUCAAGGCUCAGAGUGAGAACACUGGUACAGAAGAAACGCUUGCCCCUCGGUCUAAUCCCAGAGCCUGAAGGAACUCUUUCCAAGAAUCCACAUUUGUGUAUUUCAUGGACGUUUCUGGAGGGAAGCCCCUCCUGAAGAAGGAGACAAACUUCACCCCCCAGAACAGCAGGGACCUCACCUAAACUCACAGCUCUGACGACCACCAUCAAGGCAGACGUCGCCUUUCAGUUCCUGUCCAGACCUGUCUGCAGAGCGGAGGGCCACAGGUUCACCUGCCAUCGCCCUGAGCUUGCCCAUGGCACCUCAGGCCAGUGUCCCAAAUUGACCAGACUGCUUCCCCUACACCGGUGGCAUUUCCUGGGCACCUGAGCUGAGGAUGAGCUUGCCUCUUUCCUUCCUCCGCCUCGCCCUCACGCACCUGCCAGC